GCGGCAGUAGCUCAGAUGGUAGAGCAUCAGCUUCCCAAGCUGAGGGUCGCGGGUUCGAUUCCCGUCUGCCGCU
RNAcentral lists this transfer RNA (73 nucleotides) under Lewinella sp. Its description in RNAcentral is "tRNA-Gly". It matches the Rfam family "tRNA". Rfam says of the family: Transfer RNA (tRNA) molecules are approximately 80 nucleotides in length. Their secondary structure includes four short double-helical elements and three loops (D, anti-codon, and T loops). Lineage: Bacteria; Pseudomonadati; Bacteroidota; Saprospiria; Saprospirales; Lewinellaceae. The record is from RNAcentral.